GACGAACGCUGGCGGCGUGCUUAACACAUGCAAGUCGAACGGAAAGGCCCUGCUUGCAGGGUACUCGAGUGGCGAACGGGUGAGUAACACGUGGGUGAUCUGCCCUGCACUUCGGGAUAAGCCUGGGAAACUGGGUCUAAUACCGGAUAGGAGCCAUUUUUAGUGUGAUGGUUGGAAAGUUUUUUCGGUGUAGGAUGAGCUCGCGGCCUAUCAGCUUGUUGGUGGGGUAAUGGCCUACCAAGGCGGCGACGGGUAGCCGGCCUGAGAGGGUGGACGGCCACAUUGGGAAUGAGAUACGGCCCAGACUCCUACGGGAGGCAGCAGUGGGGAAUAUUGCACAAUGGGAGCAAGACUGAUGCAGCGACGCCGCGUGGGGGAUGACGGCCUUCGGGUUGUAAACUCCUUUCGCUAGGGACGAAGCUUUUUGUGACGGUACCUAGAUAAGAAGCACCGGCUAACUACGUG
RNAcentral lists this ribosomal RNA (465 nucleotides) under uncultured bacterium. RNAcentral describes it as "partial 16S ribosomal RNA". It matches the Rfam family "Bacterial small subunit ribosomal RNA", at positions 28 to 507 of the family's 1533-position model. The record is from RNAcentral.